Molecule: transfer RNA, 68 nt
Filed under: Temnoscheila virescens
Lineage: Eukaryota; Metazoa; Arthropoda; Insecta; Coleoptera; Trogossitidae
Description: tRNA-Asp
Source: RNAcentral
AAAAAUUUAGUUAAAAUAUAACAUUAGCAUGUCAAGCUAAAAUAGUUGGACCCCCCCAAUAGUUUUUA